Long non-coding RNA from Vicia villosa (hairy vetch), 428 nucleotides. RefSeq lists it as uncharacterized. NCBI's taxonomy places the organism in Eukaryota, Viridiplantae, Streptophyta, Magnoliopsida, Fabales, Fabaceae. The transcript has 3 exons. The record is from RefSeq and is a predicted model, not a curated record.
CAUUCAGUCACGCAUUUUGUCUUCUCUUCUUGGCGCAAAUUUUCAUCUCCAUCAAGACUCUGGAAUGGAUUUUCGGGGACUCAUGCUGCUUGCUUCUGUCAUUUUGAUUCUCUUACUGGCUGUGAUGUGGAUCUACGGUUAUGAAGAUUCGAAGUUGUUCAAAGUGCUCGUGUUUACGCUAAUGAUAGUACUCGUUCUAAUUUCUGGACCUCGAGGAUUGGAAAUUAUUUUCCUUGCAAUUUGGAUGAGAAUGAUGUAAAGGAAAAAGAAAACUACACGGUUUGCAGGUUUUGAACCAAUUGCAAUUUCUCUUGAGAUUUGCACUUUCUGCUUUCGUUUUGUUGUUGUUGCUGUUAUUGUAAAUAAGUGCAAAUCAACCGUGGAGUGAAUAUUGUUUUCUGCAACGAACAAAUUUACAUUCAAGUUAC